RNAcentral lists this ribosomal RNA (495 nucleotides) under uncultured bacterium. RNAcentral describes it as "bacterial SSU rRNA". It matches the Rfam family "Bacterial small subunit ribosomal RNA", at positions 28 to 521 of the family's 1533-position model. The record is from RNAcentral.
GACGAACGCUGGCGGCGUGCUUAACACAUGCAAGUCGAACGGAGCACCCUUGAUUGAGGUUUCGGCCAAAUGAUAGGAAUGCUUAGUGGCGGACUGGUGAGUAACGCGUGAGGAACCUGCCUUUCAGAGGGGGACAACAGUUGGAAACGACUGCUAAUACCGCAUGACGCAUUUUGAUCGCAUGGUCGAAAUGCCAAAGAUUUAUCGCUGAAAGAUGGCCUCGCGUCUGAUUAGCUAGUUGGCGGGGUAACGGCCCACCAUGGCGACGAUCAGUAGCCGGACUGAGAGGUUGACCGGCCACAUUGGGACUGAGGUACGGCCCAGACUCCUACGGGAGGCAGGCAGUGGGGAAUAUUGGGCAAUGGACGCAAGUCUGACCCAGCAACGCCGCGUGAAGGAAGAAGGCUUUCGGGUUGUAAACUUCUUUUGUCAGGGAAGAGUAAUGACGGUACUCAACAAGGAAGUGACGGCUAACUACGUGCCAGCAGCCGCGGU